AUGUCGGCGGGCAAUCGGGAGAGCGGCUCAGCGCCGAGGCAUAAGCGAGGCGGGCCGGCGCGGAGAAGGCGGAGGGGGCCAAGGACAGGCGGACGGCCGGGGAACCGGGCGGGAGUGCGGGGGGCUCGCGAGGUCGCUGCUCGCUACCUGGGCCCUCCCGAGGCCGCUGCGAGCGCGGAGACGGCGACGGGCCGGGGGCAGGAGCGGGAGGAAGAGCUGUGGCUCGAAGGGCUGCGAGGGCGCAGAGGAGCUGCGUCGGGGCUGGGUGUUGGUGUUGGUCGGCGGCGGCGCGAGUCUCCUCCCCGCUGGCACCGGGCGCCGAGGCCACACCUGGCCGGUUUCUUCCCAGGGCGGGAAAACCACGACUUCCUGGAAAAGUCUUCACCGUUUAUUGAAGUCAAAAUAUCUAAACAAAUCAGUGGCAGUUCUGUGGUAGAGAUUCAAGGAGAUGAAAUGACACAAAUCAUUUGGGAAUUGAUUCAAGAGAAACUCAUUUUUCCCUAUGUGGAAUUGGAUCUACAUAGCUAUGAUUUAGGCAUAGAGAAUCGUGAGGCCACCAACCACCAGGUCACCACGGAUGCUGCAGAAGCUAUAAAAAAGUAUAACAUUGGUGUCAAGUAUGCCACUAUCAUCCCCGAUGAGAAAAGGGUUGAGGAGUUCAAGUUGAAACAAAUGUGGAAAUCGCCAAAUGGCACCAUCCAAAAUAUUAUUCUGGGUGGCACAGUCUUCAGAGAAGCCAUUAUCUGCAAAAAUAUCCCCCGGCUUGUGAGUGGAUGGGUAAAACCCCCCAUCGUAGGUCGUCAUGCUUAUGGGGAUCAAUACAGAGCAACUUAUUUUGUUGUUCCUGGGCCUGGAAAAGUAGAGCUAACCUACACACUGAGUGACAGCACCCAAAAGGUGACAUACCUGGUACAUAACUUGGAAGAGGAUGAUAGUGUUGCCAUGGGGAUGUAUAAUCAAGAUAAGUCAAUGAAAGAUUUUGCACAUAGUUCCUUCCAAAUGGCUCUAAGGGUUGGUCUUUGUAUCUGAGCACUAAAACACUGUUUUGAAGAAACAUGAUGGACGUUUUAAAGACAUCUUUUAGGAGAUAUAUGACAAGCAGUACAAGUCCCAAUUUGAAGCCCAAAAGAUCUUGUAUGAGCAUAGGCUUAUCGAUGACAUGGUGGUCCAAGCUAUGAAAUCAGAAGGAGGCUUCAUCUGGGCCUGUAAAAACUAUGAUGGUGACAUGCAGUCAGACUCUGUGGCUCAAGGGUACAUCUCUCUUGGCAUGAUGACCAGUGUGCUGGUGUGUCCACAUGGCAAGACAGUAGAAGCAGAGGCUGCCCACUGGACUGUAACCCGUCACUACCACAUGUCCCAGAAAGGCCAGGACACGUCCACCAAUCCCAUUGCUUCCAUUUUUGCCUGGACCAGAGGGUUGGCUCUCAGAGCAAAGAUUGAUAGCAAUAAAGAGCUUGCCUUCUUUGCAAAUGCUUUGGAAAAAGUCUGUAUUGAGACAAUUGAGGCUGGUUUCACGACCGAGGACUUGGCUGCUUGCAUUAAAGGUUUACCCAGUGCGCAACGUUCUGACUCCUUGGAUAUGUUUGAGUUCAUGGACAAACUUGGAGAAAACUGGAAGAUCAAACUGGCUCAGGCCAAACUUGAAAUUCAUACCUGGGCUGAGGAGGAUAAGUGUCUUUUGGCAACUAGGUCUACAGGCUUACAUUUUUCUGUGUCACACUCAAGGCUAAAGGCAAAAUCUAUUUUGUAAUUUGUUUAGAAGCCAGAAUUUAUCUUUUCUAUAAGUUUAUAGUCUUUUUCUUAUAUAUAGUUAUUGCCACCUUUGUGAAUGUGGCAAGGGACUUUAAAUUUUAUUUUCUGCUAGCAGCCUAGGAAUUCGGUUAGUACUCAUUUGUAUUCACUAUCACUGUUUCUCAUGUUCUGUUAUAAAUGACCAAAAUCAAGAGUGCUCAAAAGGGUAAAUGAUAGCCACAGUAUUGUUCCCUAGAAUAUGCAUAAAGUAGAAAUUCAUUCCCUUCUUCUCCUGUCCAUGACCUUGGGCACGGGGAGGUUUUGUUGUUAAAGACGUCCCAUUACGUGAUAUAGAGCUAUACAUUAAACUUGCACACAACUGGAACAAACUAUGAGUGCAACUAAAAUGUGUUGAAGAUACUGCAGUCAUUUUUGUAAAGAGCUUGCUGAAUGUUUCCAAUAGACUAAAUAUUUUUCAGGCCACAGGAGAGUUUGGAAUCUGGGAUAAAUACUACUUGGAG
Piliocolobus tephrosceles (Ugandan red Colobus) is the source of this 2252-nucleotide RNA transcript. It is a transcript of the gene named isocitrate dehydrogenase [NADP] cytoplasmic pseudogene, with no coding region annotated. The transcript is spliced from 3 exons. NCBI's taxonomy places the organism in Eukaryota, Metazoa, Chordata, Mammalia, Primates, Cercopithecidae. The record is from RefSeq and is a predicted model, not a curated record.